UACGGAGGAUGCAAGCGUUAUCCGGAAUGAUUGGGCGUAAAGCGUCCGCAGGUGGCGAUGUAAGUCUGCUGUUAAAGAGUGAGGCUCAACCUCAUAAGAGCAGUGGAAACUACAUAGCUAGAGUGCGGUAGGGGCAGAGGGAAUUCCUGGUGUAGCGGUGAAAUGCGUAGAGAUCAGGAAGAACACCGGUGGCGAAAGCGCUCUGCUAGGCCGCAACUGACACUGAGGGACGAAAGCUAGGGGAGCAAAUGGG
This 253-nucleotide ribosomal RNA is filed under the name uncultured bacterium. RNAcentral describes it as "partial 16S ribosomal RNA". It matches the Rfam family "Bacterial small subunit ribosomal RNA", at positions 524 to 776 of the family's 1533-position model. The record is from RNAcentral.